This 439-nucleotide ribosomal RNA is filed under the name uncultured bacterium. Its description in RNAcentral is "partial 16S ribosomal RNA". It matches the Rfam family "Bacterial small subunit ribosomal RNA", at positions 339 to 795 of the family's 1533-position model. The record is from RNAcentral.
CUACGGGCCGCUCCAGUGAGGAAUAUUGCACAAUGGGAGGAACCCUGAUGCAGCAACGCCGCGUGGAGGAUGACACAUUUCGGUGUGUAAACUCCUUUUAUAUGUCAAGAAAAUGACGGUAGCAUAUGAAUAAGCGCCGGCUAACUCCGUGCCAGCAGCCGCGGUAAUACGGAGGGCGCAAGCGUUACUCGGAAUCACUGGGCGUAAAGGACGCGUAGGCGGGUUGAAAAGUCAGGUGUGAAAGCCUACAGCUUAACUGUAGAACUGCACUUGAAACUCUCAAUCUAGAGUAUGGGAGGGGCAGAUGGAAUUAGUGGUGUAGGGGUAAAAUCCGUAGAUAUCACUAGGAAUACCUAAAGCGAAGGCGAUCUGCUGGAACAUUACUGACGCUAAGGCGUGAAAGCGUGGGGAGCAAACAGGAUUAGAUACCCGUGUAGUC